GGAGUACAGGAUGACUUUCUGCUUGAAGCCGAUGCUUGUGAUGUCACAGGCGUCGCUUUGUAGAAAGUGUAUGGAUUAGGUCGCUUGAGGGCGUACUGGAUUUUGUGUGUUACUGAUUUUCCACGUCAUGGGAUAGUUGCCUCCCAGAGUUGCCUAAGUUUUCGUUUAAUUUUGUGAUACAAGCCCAAUGAUAUUGAACCUUGCCUGCUACAGUGUAUAACCAAAUUACAGUGCAUGGUGUCAUUACUAUGGGUCUUGGGCAACUAGUUAGUUCGCCAAAUCGUCCACCACAA
Long non-coding RNA from Strongylocentrotus purpuratus (purple sea urchin), 293 nucleotides. RefSeq lists it as uncharacterized. The record is from RefSeq and is a predicted model, not a curated record. The transcript is spliced from 2 exons. NCBI's taxonomy places the organism in Eukaryota, Metazoa, Echinodermata, Echinoidea, Camarodonta, Strongylocentrotidae.